Molecule: long non-coding RNA, 329 nt
Organism: Haliotis rufescens (red abalone)
Lineage: Eukaryota; Metazoa; Mollusca; Gastropoda; Lepetellida; Haliotidae
Exons: 2
Source: RefSeq, a predicted model, not a curated record
CAGGAUUAUGAAAGUCCGGCCUUGACGAACAGUUAAUAGCAGAACGAACUGACCACAGCUAUUUGUAGGUACAAGAACAUCUGCUGAGAUGGAGGACCGCGUGAGCAGUGUUAUCCGUGGCAAGUCCUUGAAAUGUGCCACUGCAUUUACCAAAAGUUUCAUCUAGAAUCGAAGGCAACAGUACCUGCUUCAACGGGAGACUCAAAAGGUGGAAUGGUAGACAUGGCUGCCCAAUCAACGUCAACAUCGGCAUCGGAGAAGGAUUCGGAAGUUCAUCUGCCUGAUGGAACAGUUGUCCUUUUCCUUCUUGAAUAAACUGCUUAAUUAUU